GCCGGUCUGCGGGUGGCGCCACCAGGUGCCGUUGGCGGUGCACUCCUUGUGCGCGAGUACUAUGGCAGAGAGGACAGCGAGUUCGAUACUGACCUGCGGGCGGCGCGGUGCUGUUGUUGGCGCGCGCGCAGGCCGCCUCGUGCUCCUCGCGCCGCGGGUCCUCCAUGGCGCUCCUCCGCCUCACUGCAUCUUCAACUCCUGCGCAGCGCGACGGAUCU
Ostrinia furnacalis (Asian corn borer) is the source of this 218-nucleotide long non-coding RNA. RefSeq lists it as uncharacterized. The transcript has 2 exons. The record is from RefSeq and is a predicted model, not a curated record. Lineage: Eukaryota; Metazoa; Arthropoda; Insecta; Lepidoptera; Crambidae.